AAGUCUGAUGGAGCAACGCCGCGUGAGUGAUGAAGGUUUUCGGAUCGUAAAACUCUGUUGUAAGGGAAGAACCAGUACGUCAGGCAAUGGACGUACCUUGACGGUACCUUAUUAGAAAGCCACGGCUAACUACGUGCCAGCAGCCGCGGUAAUACGUAGGUGGCAAGCGUUGUCCGGAAUUAUUGGGCGUAAAGCGCGCGCAGGUGGUUUUUUAAGUCAGAUGUGAAAGGUACCGGCUCAACCGGUGACAUGCAUUUGAAACUGAAAGACUUGAGUAUUGGAGAGGCAAGUGGAAUUCCUAGUGUAGCGGUGAAAUGCGUAGAUAUUAGGAGGAACACCGGUGGCGAAGGCGGCUUGCUGGACAAAUACUGACGCUGAGGUGCGAAAGCGUGGGGAGCAAACA
Molecule: ribosomal RNA, 403 nt
Filed under: uncultured Bacillota bacterium
Lineage: Bacteria; Bacillati; Bacillota
Description: bacterial SSU rRNA
Rfam family: Bacterial small subunit ribosomal RNA
Source: RNAcentral